Molecule: ribosomal RNA, 451 nt
Filed under: uncultured bacterium
Lineage: Bacteria
Description: bacterial SSU rRNA
Rfam family: Bacterial small subunit ribosomal RNA
Source: RNAcentral
GUGAGGAAUAUUGCGCAAUGGGGGCAACCCUGACGCAGCAACGCCGCGUGAGUGAAGAAGGCCUUCGGGUUGUAAAGCUCUGUCAGAUGGGAAGAAUAUUCAUGAGAGGACAAUGCUUAUGAAUUGACGGUACCAUCAAAGGAAGCACCGGCUAACUCCGUGCCAGCAGCCGCGGUAAGACGGAGGGUGCAAGCGUUGUUCGGAAUCACUGGGCGUAAAGCGCGUGUAGGCGGUUUUAUAAGUCGAGUGUGAAAUCCCGGGGCUUAACCUUGGAAGUGCAUUCGAGACUGUAAGGCUUGAGUACGGGAGAGGGAAGUGGAAUUCCUGGUGUAGAGGUGAAAUUCGUAGAUAUCAGGAGGAACACCGGUGGCGAAGGCGGCUUCCUGGACCGAUACUGACGCUGAGACGCGAAAGCGUGGGGAGCAAACAGGAUUAGAAACCCGUGUAGUCC